AAGUCGUAACAAGGUAACCGUAGGUGAACCUGCGGUUGGAUCAUUACUGAUUCGUAAAAUGCUUUGUGUAAUGUGUUUGGUUCCUUUUUUUCUUUGGUUUCAGGGGGGAGAGAGUCUUGACUUUUUUUUCUUCUGAGAUUGAGGGAAAGGGGGCCCACCGCUCACAAGACUAAAGCCGUUUACCAUCCUGUUUGCUUUGUAUUGUUGUCAGCUUCUGAGAUGAGGAAGGACCGCCCGUUAAAAAGGCUUGUGUCCAACCGAGUUUCGUUGGUUU
This 274-nucleotide unclassified non-coding RNA is filed under the name fungal sp. RNAcentral describes it as "partial contains small subunit ribosomal RNA and internal transcribed spacer 1". The stretch from base 1 to 46 matches the Rfam family "Eukaryotic small subunit ribosomal RNA", at positions 1786 to 1831 of the family's 1831-position model. The record is from RNAcentral. Lineage: Eukaryota; Fungi.